Non-coding RNA from Trichonephila inaurata madagascariensis, 73 nucleotides. Lineage: Eukaryota; Metazoa; Arthropoda; Arachnida; Araneae; Nephilidae. The record is from the annotation of a GenBank genome assembly.
GUCCCUGUAGCACAAUGGAUAGCGCAUUGGACUUCUAAUUCAAAGGUUGUGAUUUUUAAUCCUACCUGGGAUG